GUGAAGCGGCAAAAGCUCAAAUUUGAAAUCUGGUACCUUCGGUGCCCGAGUUGUAAUUUGGAGAGGGCAACUUUGGGGCCGUUCCUUGUCUAUGUUCCUUGGAACAGGACGUCAUAGAGGGUGAGAAUCCCGUGUGGCGAGGAGUGCGGUUCUUUGUAAAGUGCCUUCGAAGAGUCGAGUUGUUUGGGAAUGCAGCUCUAAGUGGGUGGUAAAUUCCAUCUAAAGCUAAAUAUUGGCGAGAGACCGAUAGCGAACAAGUACAGUGAUGGAAAGAUGAAAAGAACUUUGAAAAGAGAGUGAAAAAGUACGUGAAAUUGUUGAAAGGGAAGGGCAUUUGAUCAGACAUGGUGUUUUGUGCCCUCUGCUCCUUGUGGGUAGGGGAAUCUCGCAUUUCACUGGGCCAGCAUCAGUUUUGGUGGCAGGAUAAAUCCAUAGGAAUGUAGCUUGCCUCGGUAAGUAUUAUAGCCUGUGGGAAUACUGCCAGCUGGGACUGAGGACUGCGACGUAAGUCAAGGAUGCUGGCAUAAUGGUUAU
RNAcentral lists this ribosomal RNA (534 nucleotides) under Saccharomyces cerevisiae (brewer's yeast). RNAcentral's name for it is "eukaryotic LSU rRNA". It matches the Rfam family "Eukaryotic large subunit ribosomal RNA", at positions 93 to 641 of the family's 3401-position model. Lineage: Eukaryota; Fungi; Ascomycota; Saccharomycetes; Saccharomycetales; Saccharomycetaceae. The record is from RNAcentral.